Long non-coding RNA from Leptopilina boulardi, 367 nucleotides. RefSeq lists it as uncharacterized. NCBI's taxonomy places the organism in Eukaryota, Metazoa, Arthropoda, Insecta, Hymenoptera, Figitidae. The record is from RefSeq and is a predicted model, not a curated record. The transcript is spliced from 2 exons.
ACAAAAAAUAUUUCAAAUAUAAGGCUAUUAAAGUUCCGAGUAUAUAAAAGAGGAAAAUUGUUUAUUUUUCGUUGUAAUAUUCUAUUAAAAAUUUGAAAUUUACAAAUUAAACAUGAAUGUCUAUUCAUCAAUUUUUGUGACAAUUCUUUUACUUUUUUACUUAAUUGCAAUUGGAGAGGCAUAUUCUAAGGAAGUAGAUGGUCAUGUUUCAGCAAGCAGUAAUUUAUUUGCUUCGGUUAAUUUAAUUUUUCUCUGUUCCUCAAUAAUAUUUUAUUUAUAUUCACUUAUCUAAAUAUUAUAAAUAAUUACUCAAAAAUUAAUUAAAAAACAAAAAAUUUCUCGAUGUUAAAUAAAUAAUUUAAUAAAA